GAAUGGCAUCACGAGGGUUAUACUGUCUCCUUUUUCUAAUCAGUGAAACUAAUCUUCCCGUGAAGAAGCGGGAAUGAGAUUAUAAGACGAGAAGACCCUAUGGAGCUUUAAACAAAAUAACAAUUGCUUAUUUAUUAUCAAAUUCCAGAAGUUUAAGUAUUAUUCUAGCACUAUGAUUAUCAGUUUUAGGUUGGGGUGACCGCGGAGUAAAAAUUAACCUCCACAUUGAAAGGAUAUUUUCCUUAGCAAAAAGCUACAACUUUAUGCAUCAAUAAAUUGACAUUAAUUGACCCAAUAUUUUGAUCAACGAACCAAGUUACCCUAGGGAUAACAGCGCAAUCCACUUCAAGAGCUCCUAUCGACAAGUGG
This 369-nucleotide ribosomal RNA is filed under the name Ceratophrys aurita (Brazilian horned frog). Its description in RNAcentral is "partial 16S ribosomal RNA". It matches the Rfam family "Bacterial large subunit ribosomal RNA", at positions 1994 to 2515 of the family's 2925-position model. Lineage: Eukaryota; Metazoa; Chordata; Amphibia; Anura; Ceratophryidae. The record is from RNAcentral.